UACGGAAAUUUUCUAUUUUGUUAAAAAGGCAAUUGCUUAUAUACCUCUAAAAAGUUUCCGACUUUCUGAUUUAUUUCUUUUAGAAGACUAAUAUUAAAAAUAUCAUUUCUACGUUCUAAGUUAUUUUAAAUAUACCUCUAAAGUUAAAUUCUUUUAUUGAAUUGUUAGCAAUAACUGUUAUUUCUAUGAAAUUACUAUUUUAUCAUUUCAAAUAUAUCCUUCUAUCAUAACCAUUUUUAUCGUUUCAAACGUACUCCUCUACCAUCACCAACUUUUCUUAUUUGCCCUUAAGUUAAGGACAAAAUAGGUAUUUUAAUUUUUUUAACUCUGGUAAAUAUUUAACCCAAGUUUAAUCCGAGAUAACUUAACGGAUGAUAAUGGAGUAUUAUUAAAUAACGAAGGAAUAUAUGAGGAGUAUAUUAGAAAUAAAAAAAAAAGAAUAAAUUAGAUAUUUUUGAAGUUUUAAAAGGUAAUUAU
Molecule: long non-coding RNA, 477 nt
Filed under: Ananas comosus (pineapple)
Lineage: Eukaryota; Viridiplantae; Streptophyta; Magnoliopsida; Poales; Bromeliaceae
Description: long non-coding RNA (ACOM_LNC014610)
Source: RNAcentral